CUUUUUUGAAUUCAUAUAUCAUAUAGUGGCUCUUCAGAGACACAGUGAUUAGACCCAAUAUUAUACUCAUCUUUGGUCUUAUAAAAAAAGCUAAAAUUUCGAGUCUUAUUUCUAUAAGAAUAACAUGAACUACUGCAUUUAAUUUCAUAGUGCAUAUAUCCUUUGAUGAAAAUGUUGAUUUUCUGAUGAUGUUGUCAAGUUAUGUAGUGUCACAACUUUGACGAAAAUUCUGAUCGGCAUGUUCUAUAUAUAAGGUGGCCACUAUAAUGAUUCUGUUCGUGACUCCAUGUUAAUUUAUGAUCAAAGAUAGCUAAUAGUGAUUUCAUGAUAUUACUGUUAUUUUUAUUAUGGAUGGACCUUGUCAAGCCAUAGUCGAACAAUACAAGCCUGCUUCAUGUGCUGAUUAAAGAGGAAAUUUAUUCGGUCAAGGAGACUUAGGGGCUUUUUAGCAUGCAAGAUAAAAUGGAAUGAAAUUGAAAAGUGAAUUUGUAGUUUUGAAAUGUCCUUUGUGUCCCUUAAUAAAAAAAAAUAGCGAUAAGAAAUGAUAAUUGUAAUGUAAUUAUCACAUGAAAUAGUGGACAUUAUAUAUCUUAAUAUGGAAGGGGAAAGCUCUUCCUUUCCUUCUACUAGACACCCCAAAAGUUUGGAUGUCAUGGCAGUCAGACUAGUUCUACCAUGGAUUAGGUACAUGUUGAUUGAUUUAGGGUGUGUUUGGAUAAACACCAGUUGGGGUGUCAAAAGCUCAUUAGAAAAUUUUUAGGGCCUAUUUGUUUAAGAUUAAAAAAUAAGUGAUUUUUAGAUAAUUUAGAUAUUUUAUGAAAAGAGAUUCAUUUUAUAGAUAUUUUAUAAAAACGGACAUUAUUUUAUGUUUGGUUACAAUAAUAAAAAAGUGAUUAUUAAUUAAUUAUUUUUAAAUUUUAUGAUAUCUUUUUUUGUUUUGUUUUUAUAAAAAUAAUUUAUUAAUAUAUUAUUUUAAUAUUUUAUGAUAUCUUCACAUAUCCCAUCUCUUUUAAAAAAAGCUUUCUCUCAUCUACCGUAUCAGAUUAUUUUUAAAAGCUAUUGAAAGUAACUUAAAAUAAUUAGAAAUUUGUUUUUUUGCGGAUUUUGAUUAUUUUAAAAGUUUAAACAAAUAUAAUAAAAUAUCACAAAAUAGAUUUUUUUUUUAUCAAAAAUAUGUUGAAACAAACAGGCCCUUAAUCUUGUUUGGAUAAAAAUUUUCUCAGAAGAGCUUUUGGAGAAAACGAUUGUCAAAUCUGAAGCUCAAAGAAUGAGCUUCUAAAGCAACACGGUUAGAAAAGUGAGUUGAUUGUUAGGUCUCUCUCUUUUGUCCUCACCUCUCUCUUCAAGAAGUAGAAAUCUGCUGCUUGACUUGCCUUCAUCUCUUUUGGCUGGCAUUGCGUACUGUUUCUCUAGUUGUUGUUGUUGCCGUCCGUGGAGGUCAUGGGUUCCGUCGACAUUGUUGUCGUGUCUGCUCUGUCAAGAUUUUUUUAAUCUAAACUCAUGCUUAGGCAGUUACUCAGUGUCUUCUCAGGGGACUGCCUUUCAGCCAAUUAUGUUUUGAAGAUACAUUUCUUGGUUAGACAUGGGGAAGACAUGGCUACUUUUCUCUUGUUAGUUUUAGCCUUUGCUUUUAGGUAGGGAAACACCGCUCCAACACUGGCUUUCAAGCUUUUAAUGGACAUGAAAUCUCAUUAGACAGUCUAAACAAUACUCUUGACCAUAUCAUUGGGAUAAAAAAAGCGCAAACAUUAAAUGGGUUGUGAACAUGCCAGAUUGCAUGUACCUUCAUUGCGGUAUUUAAAGAACCCUUUAUUCUUGAAGGCGCUUUGGUGCUCUCUAAAUGUGGCAUAUUCUGCACACAAGUAAGCUUCAAAGGUUUCUCAUUCGAU
Prosopis cineraria is the source of this 1889-nucleotide long non-coding RNA. RefSeq lists it as uncharacterized. The record is from RefSeq and is a predicted model, not a curated record. NCBI's taxonomy places the organism in Eukaryota, Viridiplantae, Streptophyta, Magnoliopsida, Fabales, Fabaceae. The transcript is spliced from 3 exons.